Molecule: long non-coding RNA, 1618 nt
Organism: Oncorhynchus keta (chum salmon)
Lineage: Eukaryota; Metazoa; Chordata; Actinopteri; Salmoniformes; Salmonidae
Exons: 6
Source: RefSeq, a predicted model, not a curated record
ACUGUGGGUUGAGGUAUAAGAGGUGGACUGUGGGUUGAGGUAUAAGAGAGGGACUGUGGGUUGAGGUAUAAGAGAUGGACUGUGGGUUGAGGUAUAAGAGAGGAACUGUGGGUUGAGGUAUAAGAGAGGAACUGUGGGUUGAGGUAUAAGAGAUGGACUGUGGGUUGAGGUAUAAGAGAUGGACUGUGGGUUGAGGUAUAAGAGAGGAACUGUGGGUUGAGGUGUAAGAGAUGGACUGUGGGUUGAGGUAUAAGAGGUAUAAGAGAUGGACUGUGGGUUGAGGUAUAAGAUAUGGACUGUGGGUUGAGGUAUAAGAGAUGGACUGUGGGUUGAGGUAUAAGAGAUGGACUGUGGGUUGAGGUAUAAGAGAGGAACUGUGGGUUGAGGUAUAAGAGAUGGACUGUGGGUUGAGGUAUAAGAGAUGGACUGUGGGUUGAGGUAUAAGAGAUGGACUGUGGGUUGAGGUAUAAGAGAUGGACUGUGGGUUGAGGUAUAAGAGAUGGACUGUGGGUUGAGGUAUAAGAGAUGGACUGUGGGUUGAGGUAUAAGAGACGAACUGUGGGUUGAGGUAUAAGAGACGAACUGUGGGUUGAGGUUUAAGAGAUGGACUGUGGGUUGAGGUAUAAGAGAUGGACUGUGGGUUGAGGUAUAAGAGAUGGACUGUGGGUUGAGGUAUAAGAGAUGGACUGUGGGUUGAGGUAUAAGAGAUGGACUGUGGGUUGAGGUAUAAGAGAUGGACUGUGGGUUGAGGUAUAGGAGAUGAACUGUGGGUUGAGGUAUAAGAGGUAUAAGAGUUGGACUGUGGGUUGAGGUAUAAGAGAUGGACUGUGGGUUGAGGUAUAAGAGAGGAACUGUGGGUUGAGGUAUAAGAGAUGGACUGUGGUUUGAGGUUUAAGAGAUGGACUGUGGGUUGAGGUAUAAGAGAGGAACUGUGGGUUGAGGUAUAAGAUAUGGACUGUGGGUUGAGGUAUAAGAGAUGGCGACAGAGGAGAGAAAUGCCGUGAAGAUGUUGGGGACCAGUCUUCCCUGAGUGGUGAGAUAAAGAAGUUUGAGGGUUUUGUAAAGCCUGUAAUGGAACAUUGUAGAGUUGAGGUGUUUCUGCUGAACUCAUUGUCCUAUUUAGCCUGGGUCCCUGAGAGACCCUUGUUGUUGAACUCAUUGUCCUAUUUAGCCUGGGUCCCUGAGACCCUUGUUGUUGAACUCAUUGUCCUAUUUAGCCUGGGUCCCUGAGAGACCCUUGUUGUUGAACUCAUUGUCCUAUUUAGCCUGGGUCCCUGAGAGACCCUUGUUGUUGAACUCAUUGUCCUAUUUAGCCUGGGUCCCUGAGAGACCCUUGUUGUUGAACUCAUUGUCCUAUUUAGCCUGGGUCCCUGAGAGACCCUUGUUGUUGAACUCAUUGUCCUAUUUAGCCUGGGACCCUGAGAGACCCUUGUUGUUGAACUCAUUGUCCUAUUUAGCCUGGGUCCCUGAGAGACCCUUGUUGUUGAACUCAUUGUCCUAUUUAGCCUGGGUCCCUGAGACCCUUGUUGUUGAACUCAUUGUCCUAUUUAGCCUGGGUCCCUGAGAGACCCUUGUUGUUGAACUCAUUGUCCUAUUUAGCCUGGGUCCCUGAGAGACC